GGUGAUCACCUUGAAACAUCAGGAGCGAGUUCUGAUCAGAUCAAGAUGAAAGGCAAAUAAAGAGGAAGAGGAGAAAAAAAGGAGGCUGGGGAGUGAGGUGACACUUCUUAACAAGUGAGGACAGUCUCAACAGGACACACUAGAAAUCCUCUAAAGGCACUCUGCACACUGGACAACACGCCCGGAAAGAAUCCUUGAGCAAUUGGCAUGUGUUUGGAGAGGAUAGGAAGUGUGGAGGCAGAAGAGAGGAGAGCACAAUCUGUCCUCCUGUGUGCUCUCUGUGGAGCUGUGAGAGAGAAUUGCCAGAAAAUGUUUAAUUUCACAAGGGGAUUUAGCCCAUUCCGCCUCUGACAGCUCUCUUUGUUUUGUCGAUGUCUUUGUUCAACAGUAGCUGACAGAAAAUUCACUGAUUGCUUUAAAAAAUCUCAUUGUCCAUAACGAGUAUGGACGUACUAUAUCACACAUGAUCACCAGCAGGAUCCCUUAGUGACAGCUCAAGUCAUAGUUUAAUUUGAGAGAGUGAGGGUGGUAAAUGUUGCAGAAGUGCUACCUCAGGAGGGGAUGACAGACCAAAUUAAAUCCGUCUCUGUGUCGAUGUAUUUACGUCUUCUUACAAACAGGGACACAGCAGGAAUGAAUUUUCAGAGCGAAUCAGGUUUAUUGCUCAAAGGAACUCCACAUAUAAAGACAUGAAAACCUUAUGGGAUCAACACUGGUAUCUUUUACAUAUAUGUCGAAUAUAAAAACACCACAGAUUUCUACAUUUUGAGAACAUUUUAAAAUAUAAAUGUACAUGUAGGCUGCCAUUGUUGUAUACAAUGGAAUGCACUCUGUGUAGUGACGCCAUUCUUUUCCCCAUACACUUUCCCUGACCGGGUGUUGUCUGUUAACACUUUUUCAGAUGGCAGUGUCAGUGAAGAGGACAAUAAUGAAGAUGUUACUCUCAGUGUAGAUCAAAGUGAAUACAAUCAGAGAAGUGAGGAGGGGAGAGUGAGGCUAAUACGAUGGUGUCUGUACGACAACUGUUUGUCAAUGCUAAUUUUAGACUCUGGUCUGCCCAGUUUUAUAUCACGCCGUCCCCCCCCACCACCUUCUGUGCUUUGGGUCUGUGGUCUGUGGUCAUUAUUUCAUGUUUUUAAAGGCUACUGAAUGUGAAUGGGGCUCCAUGUUCAUUUGCAUAUGGGAGUGGGAAAGUGUGUUACCAGGUGACCACUGCAGACAUUUGGAGAUGCAUUGAUCUUGCCAGGUGUGAACAGCUGUGCUUACAGCUACAGUAUGCAGUUAUGAUCAGCCAGGAAAAAUUGCUGAUAACAGAUAUUCAACCUCUCUCUCUCAGUUUGCACUGACGAGCAGUUGUCGUGCAGACACCAUAGUAGCAGUCCGUCUCUCUAUUUUAUAAAUCUAGGGUGUUUUUUCAUAUCUCAUACAUUUAAAAGAUACCAGUGUUGAUCCAAUGAAGUCAGCAUAUCUUUAGCAUAUACAAUUAACCUGUGAUAGCAGCCUAAUCUUUCACAAUUUCCUGAAUUUAUGUCAUUCCCAGACCAUUUCUGCCUGGUGUCUUUGUAUAACAAUACUCUUGAGAGAUUACAUGAUCAUUUCUUUUACCAAUUUGACACAAUGUCUAAAGCUAUGGGAAAGUUUCAACUCUUUUAUUAUAAAAUCGCAUCUGUCUAUAUCCUUUUUGCAAUGAAAGGAAAAUCUGGGAAAUGGGGGAAAUUUGACCCAACACUCUGCAGAAUGACAGAUUGGAUGCUUGAGACAGAAAAUAAAUGAGCAGCAGAAAGAGAGUGAGGAGAAGUGUGGGAGAGAUGUGACUAAAGCACACAGAGAUAUGCUCCCCACACACUCACUAACAGGUUGAGAAAUAAAGGUUAUUAGUGUGGCUGAGGCACAGGUACUCAUAUUUGAAGCCUUCCUCUCUGCCUCGUCUAAUAAAAAACAAUAUUUGGCCUGCACUCCAAAUAAACAGCAUACUCCAGCACGAACUCUCUGUAUCAUCUACAACUAUCUAUUAAAAUCGAUUGAGGCACUGAAGUGAGAGAGAUAGGAGAUGGAGAGACAGCUCCUCUUCUUCUCUUUCUCUAAUUCGUACAAGAGAGUCAGGUCUAUCCAAAGAGACAAACUGACCUCCACUGUUUGUUGAAUCCUGGGGCUCAGUGAUGUCUUGUUCACACAGUAUGAUUUUUAAAUGACACCAAAGAUCAAACUGAUGAAUAGCAAGUUGCUGUUCCAGUUAUCCUCAGUUAUAGAACUCCAUCAUUAGUCUUAUAUUUCAGAAUUGAGUAACUCUUUAGAAUAAUAAUAAGCUAUCUCCAGUAAAUGAAGUAUAUCCUACCAAUUAAUAUCUGUUUUUUUAAGGCAUGGUCAAUUGCCCUCUUUUCCAAAAUCACUUUAUAUGAACUACAUCUCCACAUUUACACUCAUGCUAUUUUAUUUCAGUUUCCAUAAUCUGAAUGGGAAAUUCAUGUAGGAUAUAUUUUGACUGAGAAUACACUAUGUAAAAAGCUAUUCAAUUUUACCCUCAUAUUAAUAAUAUUAGCAUAUUAGGCUAAUAAAGCAUUAAAGGUUGUGUCAUUGGCAUGUCCACUAUACUUCUUGCAAACAAUCUUACAGUGCUAUGUUUCACAUUUUAAUGCAACGAAAGCCAUAUUAGUCAAUUAGCAGAAAAAUAUAUGGUUAUUAAGCAUCUGAAAUCCUAAUUGGCCACUCACUUCUGAUGGUCUGAUGAAAAGAAAGAGUGAGUGACAACAUGAGAUGAUGGUUUUAAACACAAUAAAGUCAAACCAAGUGUUUGCAAUCAGGCGACCCCGCUCUGACAUAACUGGUUAUAGGUGUGGCAGGGAUAACAACAUUCGAAGUUUAAGCAGGGAACAGCUUGUGUUAAAUAUGAGUCAAACUACCAGUAUAGAAAAAAGUGUUUUCUACUUUUUAAUCACUGUGAUGCUAUUGCACUGUUAAUUCACUGAAAGGAGGGGUGAUUAAUCAUGAAAAUAUCGGUGAGCUCAGUGGCCUCAGCAAAGCAAUUACCUCUGCCAUGAUGAUUAAAAAAAAGUAUGAAAUAUAUUGAUGUCUUCUAUUGUAUAUGAUUCUAAUGCUUUAUUGAAACUCUUAUAUUAAAGCUCACUGCUACUUUAAUUAUGUCA
This is a non-coding RNA of Labrus bergylta (ballan wrasse), 3143 nucleotides long. The record is from RefSeq and is a predicted model, not a curated record. NCBI's taxonomy places the organism in Eukaryota, Metazoa, Chordata, Actinopteri, Labriformes, Labridae.